This 332-nucleotide ribosomal RNA is filed under the name uncultured bacterium. RNAcentral's name for it is "bacterial SSU rRNA". It matches the Rfam family "Bacterial small subunit ribosomal RNA", at positions 568 to 898 of the family's 1533-position model. The record is from RNAcentral.
CGCGUAGGCGGCCUUUUAAGUCAGACGUGAAAACCCCGGGCUCAACCCGGGACCUGCGUCUGAUACUGGAAGGCUUGAAUCCGGGAGAGGGAUGUGGAAUUCCAGGUGUAGCGGUGAAAUGCGUAGAUAUCUGGAGGAACACCGGUGGCGAAGGCGGCAUCCUGGACCGGCAUUGACGCUGAGGCGCGAAAGCCAGGGGAGCAAACGGGAUUAGAUACCCCGGUAGUCCUGGCCCUAAACGAUGAAUGCUUGGUGUGGCGGGUAUCGAUCCCUGCCGUGCCGAAGCUAACGCAUUAAGCAUUCCGCCUGGGGAGUACGGUCGCAAGGCUGAA